Molecule: long non-coding RNA, 2351 nt
Filed under: Sus scrofa (pig)
Lineage: Eukaryota; Metazoa; Chordata; Mammalia; Artiodactyla; Suidae
Description: lncRNA (ENSSSCG00040014015.1)
Source: RNAcentral
GCGGCAUAUGGGUUCCCAGGCUAGGGGUGUCCAAUUGGAGCUGUAGCCACCGGCCUACACCACAGUCACAGCAACUCGGGAUCCAAGCCACACCUGCAAUCUACACCACAACAACGCCAGAUCCUUAACCCAAUGAGCAAGGCCAGGGAUUGAACCUGUGUCCUCAUGGAUACUAGUCAUGUUUGUAAACCACUGAGCCGUGACAGCAACUCCCAUACCUACGUGUGUUUUAAACCAAGGAGCGGAAAAACCUUGUCAGAUUUCUCUUGCAUCACUUCUCACUCAACCUGCUGGAACACCUUACAUGCACAAACUCCCCAAACUGCCAGGGACCUCCAGGCCUAGGCAAGCCUCCCAGAGCUCCUGCUGCAGGCUGAGACCCAGGCUUUCCUGUUGACAGGAAACGGGACCCAGGAUGGCUUGGUCUGUAGAAAUGCCCUGAGUGAUUCCAAACUACACCAAAUACUCAGCUCUGCAACAGCUCUCAGGCUCGGGUGUGGACCCUGGGGUCAAGGUCUGGCAAGUGAAAAACCUGAAUUUUUAUAAAACUGGUCAUGGGAAAACAGGAAGAUCACAGAAGGUGGUGAAAUCCUCACCAAGGCCAACGAUUGCACAACACAUCACUCCCUGGAGCACAUUUUUCCACCUGCUCUAACACUAAAAAUUUGGGAGUGUUUCGAGUUACUUGAGAAUUUACCCACCCCAGCCAUUUUCCCUCUUAGAAGCUCUUCCAGGGUUUCUGUCAGAAAUUUCUUUUCUGUUCAAGGAAGUGGGAAACUCCAAGGAAUCGGAGGACGAGCAGUGUAAGACAUAACUGGGCAGAGCCAUCCCUCCUUGUAAUUAAAACCAUCGUGUGGCCUGCAGUCUAGAGAAAUCCCGUGUAUACGUGGACACGUGAAGGUCCUGGGCCAUAACGUGGUCAACGCUACGUGGAAAGCAAUUCAGGGCCAAACAGGUGUGGCUCGAGGCGUUCCUUCAGGACCGGCCCUGUCUGGGUGGAGACGGGGGAAGAAAGAGGUCAGGGAGCUGUGACCAGCAAAGGAGCACAAAGACCAGGACUGUCAGACUGUGUGAGACAGACGCCACCUCCCUAACCUGCCCCCAGGUCCCUUUCUGCGCUCUGCCCCAGUGAGGACUUGAGAAUAAAACUGGCUUAUGACAUGGACUGGCCUGUGUUGAUGAGUGGAUAAGGUCUCUGUCCAUUAAAGGGUCACACAUGAGAUUUUUUCUUCCCUGGCUCUUCUGAGCCCUGCGGCAGGGGGGCCUGGCCUCAGCAGGCUCUGUUCUCUCUGCUCACUGCUUUGGCUUCCUCCACCGGUCAGCUCUCCACAGCUUGGGAAGGUUCCCACAUACAGACGUGAGCCUGAGACAAGGUUAAGAGGUCUGUUUAGGGCAAGAGGCUGAACUCCAUGAAAUUACCUGAGCCCUGCCACAGGCUAUGCGUGACCACAAAAUAAGGCCAUGCACUGAUUCUUGUCUGAGGCUGCUGUUCCAUGUGUACGGCUUCUGCGGGAGUCCUGGGGGAGGAGGGCUGUGGGGAACCCUGGGUUCUUCAAUAACUCCACCCCAACCCCGAAAGCACUCUCAAGGACAUAGGAUGUAGAGCAUGCUGUCAAAUUUCCUGGUCUUUUCUGUGCACCUAAUGCUGGGCUGGUAUUUAUAGCUUCAUAUCCUUGAAACUGAUUUGUUCUAGAUGUUACUGCAGAGCACUCCUUAAAGGAUAAAAGUAAAAUCAUCUGCAUUUUACUUUCAUGCAAAGAUGACAGUGGCAAUAACGUGAGCAUUCAACAAACAUUUUCUUGGGUUAGACUGGAUUUGAAACAUCUUCGGUUGCUAAAGAAACAAAACAUGUCCCUAUCCACUCCUUCAACACCAAGACGUAAUUUUAUUUGCGCAGUAACACGAAUACAUGAAUACCGUUCAACGUGCGGGGCUUUUUUUUUUCUGUGCAAGAUAGGUAAGCAUCAGGCUGUUGUAAUCAGGUGACUUUUUAGGUUUCUCAAAGCGGCACAAAUUUCUCUGAAUGACAAACAUUCCAGAAAUACGAAUCCACACUUAGCGCUUAUCUGAUACCAGUCUCUUCAAAGUUCCAAAGCUCUCAACAGCACAUCUGCUCUGCACACGAGGGAAAACCACUACCCAACCCCUCGUUGCACCGCGCAUCCCCGAACGAGGCGAAGACGGAAGCAGGAGCAACGCCCUGCGCGCGCGCGCGGGCGCGAGGGGCGGUGCGGCACAGGGCCAGCGGCUUCCCGGGUCCCUGGCACCGUUACGCAGGCCGAGCCGGUCCUCCGUCUUCCUUCCCGGGCAGGAUGGGGGCUCCUCGGCUGGAAGGCAAGAUGGCUGCCAUC